GGUAGUGGACGCGGGAGGAGGCGAGGAGGAGCGGGUGGCCGGGGCGGAGCAGGUGCGGCCAGCCCGCAGGAGGGAGGCGAUGGAGGGCGACCGGCGGCGACGACGGCGGCCUCCUCACUGCUCGUGUUUCAUCUGCUCGUCCAAGGGACUUCUCCCUGCCCUGCCCCGCGCCAUCCCACUCUCCUCCAUCUCGGCCGGCCGGACCGCAUCGUCGGCGGCGGCGGCGACCAGCGUAGCCCCCGUGGAGCGUCCAGGAGGGCGAGGAGGUGAGCACCAGCGCAGAUUCGUCGGAAGGGAGAUGAAGAGGGGUGAAGAGAUGUGAGGGAGGAGAUCUGUGGUGCUACUGUGCAUCUGUGAGAACCAUACCCGCAAGCUCCUCCUAGGUUGCAGCUACUACCACUCCAAGAACUCCAACCUAGACGGAGGAGGGUAGUAAUUCGGGUUUGCUUAUUCUUUAUCUUUCAGCUUUUAGAGAAAAUUUACCAUUACUAUCUUAAAUCUUUCUGGGUUAGAGUUUCUGAUGAUCCAACAUCCCAUGAUUAUGCUAUUAGUCAAAUACUGAAUUUUUUGCUGGUUUCCCAAUAUAAAUUUUGCUUAGGAAGGAACAUCAUGGAGGCCGCUUGCCGCAUAAGAGGCUGGAGCGGCAAGUUUGGUGUGGCUGCUCCUCCACGCAAAGGUCUUCAGUUCAUAAAUUAUUGCUCCUUACUUUUGUCCCUUAAGGAGCAGCCACAUGCUUUGUUUUGUUUGUCCUAUAAUGUGUAUUUAGGCUUUCGCCACAUCACCGAUUCUUCAUUUUUCUGUCUUCCAUGUUUUAGCAAAAGAAAGUAGAGAAUAAAUCAAUGAAUGUUUUCUUUUAAAAAUGAUUAUACCAUUUCAUCGGAUGUAAUAACUUAAAAUAGUUAUUUGUGGCUGUAGUUUGCUGCUAGGUUUAGGUUCAGAUUUAGGAGGAGGUGGCCGGCCGUUCGGAAUAUUGUGCGAGCCAGCAGCGGUGACACGGUCCUUCUCCUCCCUCCUUACUUGUGGUGGGCUAGGGCCGGAGCUUGAUGGUUGUCGGAGCCGCUCGUCCACCCUGUACCUGAUUUGCUUUGAGCAGAGAAAAGUAGAGAGGGGUGGUGGAUUCGCAUGCUCGACAGCCCGCCAGCUAGGAUUUGAUGGCGGAGAGAUGCGAAGUCUAGCUUGAUUGUUGGCUUCUUUAUUAUAUGGACGUGAUGCAAGCUAGGGUUUCAGUUUAUAGAAUAUUCUUGCUGAUGGCGAUCACAGGGAGCAUCAUGGUGAGUUCGCAUUGGCGUGACGGUGCUGCACCCAUUUUAUUACCAACAAUGACUGCAUCUUCUGUGAGAAUGAUCUGGUUACUGACAAGAAUGCGGAGCUCAUCGGGAUGCAAGAUGCCGAGGUGGCCGGCAUCCAACACCGUGGGCUGUUGGUGCUCCACCCAGCGCCCCACUUCUUGCUUGCAUGCAUGCCACCGGUCAGUUGUAAGAUGCCAACGCCCAGGUACUGUAGGUACCAAUGGGGAAACAACAGAAGAACGAUGAGGGCAUUGUCUCUAGGUUCAUUCUUAUUUCGAAGAAUAAGUAGUCAAAUCAAGGAUUGAUCGGCGAGUGAUCAAGCAAAGCGAUCUCGGGUUGUACGUGUUCGCGUUGAAUCUGUUGAGUGGCGAUCCCUUCAUGAAUUAAAAAUUGUUGCCAUACUUUGACACCUGCCAGUUUACUGGUUGCUAUAAAUUGUGAAGGAAUCAAGUUGUGGGCAAAUAUUGAAAGGUAAUGAAUGAUCCAAUACUUGCCUUGUUAGUCCUUUCUUGGUUCUUAUGCAUUUUAUAUUAUUAUUUUGGUCCCAGCUUGUUGCGUUGAUUGGUCUAUAUGGCCUGUAAUAAUUCAGUUGGCAUGGACAUGGGGAUCUUGAGCCUACUUUCACUCCCACAAAUGGUUGCUUUGGAUAUUAAGAUGCCACUUUUAUUUCGUCACCCAUGCAUUGUUUUGCAUUCAGAAUUACCUGCUAGAUAAUAUUACCAUGCCUAUUAUUAAUGUGUCAUAAAGACAAGCACUUCACCAGCUAAACCACUUGCCAUGUGGUUAAUAUUUACGGUUUGGCCUUCAGAAAUUUCAGAUGGGAAUGGUCUCCAAAUUUUAAGAAAAGUUUGUUUGGGAGCAGUCAUUUAUUUAUUUGUUAUUAUCACUACAUAUCAAGUAAGCUGGUUGUGAAAUUUACAUUGACUUCUUGUGAUAUGAUGUAGGUAUUAUUAGCCAUUGACUCUAUUUAUGUUGCCUUUCGGCUCCACAAUUGACCUGAUUUAGAGUUGAUCCAGAAUUUCAUUAUAUUACCGCAAAAUGUGCCUCUGAACAUAGUUUCAGUAGUAGUGCCACUUGGAGAGAUCAACAUUAUUUGUUUACUCAUCCAAUGAAGGUCUUGCAGCAUGACCAGUAUUAUGGUCAGUUGUCGAGUGCAACAUCCUCCAGUUUUUAUUUAGUUUCACAUCAGAAAGUCAGUUUUCUCCGUGCAUUGAUGCAUAUGCACACAAAGAUAUGACAGGUUUUCGUGUCUCCAUUUGAUUCUGGUUCCACCUCUGCCAGUAUCAUUUGUUGUGACAGCAGCCUGCAGCGUGUGCCUUUUACCUACAUAUCUCUACAUAUUUAUGAUGGGUAAAGGGACGUCUUCUCAAGCCCACUCCCGUCUGUUUGGUUGCUAGAAGAUUUAGGUUCACUCGUGGCAUCCUCCUGCAACGAGUCUCCAACCUAUCCCGUUCUUAAUGACUUCUACUCUAGAGUACUAAGAAGUUGUGAUAAAUAUAGAGAUGAUUCCUAAGGAGAUCUGGCAUAUAUAUUUCUCAGUGCAGUUGAAGGAUUGGUGCUGGUUGGAGGGGGCUCCGGUUCCUGCAUGGUGAAUUCCCUCCCAGGCAUCAAAAGAUUAUGUCAAUGCAGCCAUUGGCAAUAUGAAAGCGGCUUCACAAGUUCGGUGGAGGGAGCUGUUAUAACCCUAAAUUCCAUCAACACAAAACUAAUCUACUUAUACCGCCAUCACUAAACUACUGCUAAACUACGAUAUAUGAUAAAUGUUGCACUUUUGUUUCCCUUCUACCUUUAGGGCGAGGCACAACGUUGGCGCAAUGAGUAAACAUUUGUAAUAGUUUCGCUACACUGCGAUAUAUGAUAAAUGUUGCACUUUUGUUUUGCUUCUACCUUUAGGGCACGUUGGUACGACUGGUAAACAUUUGUAAUAGUUUCUGGUUCUUGUGGUAUCGGUGAAGCGGCUUAGAAUCUCGAACCAAACUUUUUAUCUUUCUGCUUACAAUAAGUAGAAGCAUUCCUUUUGGAAUUACUAAUUA
Molecule: non-coding RNA, 3322 nt
Organism: Lolium perenne
Lineage: Eukaryota; Viridiplantae; Streptophyta; Magnoliopsida; Poales; Poaceae
Source: RefSeq, a predicted model, not a curated record